UACGGAGGAUCCGAGCGUUAUCCGGAUUUAUUGGGUUUAAAGGGUGCGCAGGCGGGAGAUUAAGUCGGCGGUGAAAUUUUGCGGCUCAACCGUAAAAGUGCCUUCGAAACUGGUUUCCUUGAGUGUGGAUGAGGUAGGCGGAAUUUGUGGUGUAGCGGUGAAAUGCAUAGAUAUCACGAGGAACUCCGAUUGCGCAGGCAGCUUACCAGGCCAUAACUGACGCUCAAGCACGAAGGCGUGGGGAUCAAACAGGAUUAGAUACCCCUGUAGU
Molecule: ribosomal RNA, 271 nt
Filed under: uncultured prokaryote
Description: partial 16S ribosomal RNA
Rfam family: Bacterial small subunit ribosomal RNA
Source: RNAcentral